UACGUAGGGUGCAAGCGUUAAUCGGAAUUACUGGGCGUAAAGCGUGCGCAGGCGGUUUUGUAAGUCUGUCGUGAAAGCCCCGGGCUCAACCUGGGAAUUGCGAUGGAGACUGCAAGGCUUGAAUCUGGCAGAGGGGGGUAGAAUUCCACGUGUAGCAGUGAAAUGCGUAGAGAUGUGGAGGAACACCGAUGGCGAAGGCAGCACCCUGGGUCAAGAUUGACGCUCAUGCACGAAAGCGUGGGGAGCAAGCAGG
RNAcentral lists this ribosomal RNA (253 nucleotides) under uncultured bacterium. RNAcentral's name for it is "partial 16S ribosomal RNA". It matches the Rfam family "Bacterial small subunit ribosomal RNA", at positions 524 to 776 of the family's 1533-position model. The record is from RNAcentral.